GCCUAACACAUGCAAGUCGAGCGGCAGCAUGCUUAGUAGCAAUACUAAGUGAUGGCGAGCGGCGGACGGGUGAGGAACACGUAGGGACCUGCCCAAGAGAGGGGGACAACCAAUGGAAACGUUGGCUAAUACCGCAUAAUCUCUUAGGAGAAAAGUUGCCCGUAAGGGUAGCGCUUUUGGAGGGGCCUGCGUCCGAUUAGCUAGUUGGUGAGGUAAUAGCUCACCAAGGCUGUGAUCGGUAACUGGUCUGAGAGGACGACCAGUCACACUGGGACUGAGACACGGCCCAGACUCCUACGGGAGGCAGCAGUGGGGAAUCUUGGACAAUGGGGGCAACCCUGAUCCAGCGAUGCCGCGUGGGUGAAGAAGGCCUUCGGGUUGUAAAGCCCUUUAGGCUGGGACGAAGGAUGUGGGACGAAUAAUCCUGCAUUUUGACGGUACCAGCAGAAUAAGCACCGGCAAACUCUGUGCCAGCCGCCGCGGUAA
RNAcentral lists this ribosomal RNA (486 nucleotides) under uncultured bacterium. RNAcentral's name for it is "partial 16S ribosomal RNA". It matches the Rfam family "Bacterial small subunit ribosomal RNA", at positions 46 to 523 of the family's 1533-position model. The record is from RNAcentral.